Molecule: long non-coding RNA, 291 nt
Organism: Zingiber officinale
Lineage: Eukaryota; Viridiplantae; Streptophyta; Magnoliopsida; Zingiberales; Zingiberaceae
Exons: 3
Source: RefSeq, a predicted model, not a curated record
CCACCAGACGCUUCUGGUUCUUCACUGUCGGCCGAGGGUUGUUGCUCUCCUUUGUGACGACCACCGGACUUGGAGUUUGUUCAGCCACUGGAUUUCCGACGUUAUCCGAUUUCAGCCACGUCCGGCAGUGACUCGACAGUUCGGGCAUUUAUGUUUGGGGCUUUUGGAAUUUGCGGUGGCGAUUUUGCUUCGGCUAAGGACCUCAAGGAAGAGGUUUCUAAGGACAUUGAUUUGGGAUGAGCACUUUGACGCAGAGGUUGUCUAGCUCGAUCUACAUUUGAGGCGGGUACC